UUACAUACAUCAACCGACAAUUUGUUAAAACAACAAUGAAAAACCGAGAGUCAAGAUGGCAGCGUUUAUUAUUAACCUUCGCGUUUGCUAUGCUGUGGAAGCAUCAGAUUGUUUUUGCUGCUUUGAUGGUGGAUUGGACUGUUUUUU
This is a long non-coding RNA of Dreissena polymorpha, 147 nucleotides long. RefSeq lists it as uncharacterized. The record is from RefSeq and is a predicted model, not a curated record. Lineage: Eukaryota; Metazoa; Mollusca; Bivalvia; Myida; Dreissenidae. The transcript has 3 exons.